Molecule: ribosomal RNA, 273 nt
Filed under: uncultured bacterium
Lineage: Bacteria
Description: partial 16S ribosomal RNA
Rfam family: Bacterial small subunit ribosomal RNA
Source: RNAcentral
AUACGGAGGGGGCUAGCGUUGUUCGGAAUUACUGGGCGUAAAGCGUACGCAGGCGGACUGGAAAGUUGGGGGUGAAAUCCCGGGGCUCAACCCCGGAACUGCCCCAAAACUUCCAAUCUAGAGAUCGAGAGAGGUGAGUGGAAUUCCAAGUGUAGAGGUGAAAUUCGUAGAUAUUUGGAGGAACACCAGUGGCGAAGGCGGCUCACUGGCUCGAUACUGACGCUGAGGUACGAAAGCGUGGGGAGCAAACAGAAUUAGAUACCCUAGUAGUCC